RNAcentral lists this ribosomal RNA (245 nucleotides) under uncultured Prevotella sp. RNAcentral's name for it is "partial 16S ribosomal RNA". It matches the Rfam family "Bacterial small subunit ribosomal RNA", at positions 524 to 768 of the family's 1533-position model. The record is from RNAcentral. Lineage: Bacteria; Pseudomonadati; Bacteroidota; Bacteroidia; Bacteroidales; Prevotellaceae.
UACGGAAGGUCCGGGCGUUAUCCGGAUUUAUUGGGUUUAAAGGGAGCGCAGGCUGAUGAUUAAGCGUGACGUGAAAUGUAGCCGCUCAACGGCUGAACUGCGUCGCGAACUGGUUAUCUUGAGUGAGUUCGAUGUUGGCGGAAUUCGUGGUGUAGCGGUGAAAUGCUUAGAUAUCACGAAGAACUCCGAUUGCGAAGGCAGCCAACAAGGCCUUUACUGACGCUAAAGCUCGAAGGUGCGGGUAU